Molecule: long non-coding RNA, 485 nt
Organism: Corticium candelabrum
Lineage: Eukaryota; Metazoa; Porifera; Homoscleromorpha; Homosclerophorida; Plakinidae
Exons: 3
Source: RefSeq, a predicted model, not a curated record
UCUACGUCGGUUACGCACGACCAGAAGAUCGGUGAUGACUUUCAAACCAGAAGAGAAAAGGAGUGACUGUAGUUCGACAAACAAAUGUAGCUGAGGCAUAUUGAUAGUCUCUUUCUUCAUUGUCCUCUAAACUGUGCUUCACUUGAUCCGCUUUCUACAUCUCUCGAUCUCUUGGCCAACUGGUUCAAAUAAUUGUCUGCCUUUUCUCCCCAACAACCAAAAUGUUCAAAAAUCAAUGGAAUGAAGCUGCAAAUCUGUCCUCUCUCGAUGCUCUUACCACUGUGUCGUGUACUAAAUGGGUGUGCCAAAAAGAAAUCGAGUUCGACAUUGGCACCUAUUCCUGAAUCAUAUACUAUUAUGUCUGGUCUGUCUUUAUUGUCUAUAUAUUGAUUUUUAGGUUCUUUUUUGUGAUGCACUUGCAAGUCCCUGAAACACUGCCACCACUCUGCCACCAUAUUAUUGUGUUCCCACACAGGCCUCCACCA